This 427-nucleotide ribosomal RNA is filed under the name uncultured bacterium. RNAcentral's name for it is "partial 16S ribosomal RNA". It matches the Rfam family "Bacterial small subunit ribosomal RNA", at positions 355 to 774 of the family's 1533-position model. The record is from RNAcentral.
UGGGGAAUAUUGGACAAUGGGCGAAAGCCUGAUCCAGCCAUGCCGCGUGUGUGAAGAAGGGCUUCGGAUUGUAAAGCACUUUAAGUUGGGAGGAAGGGCAUUAACCUAAUACGUUAGUGUUUUGACGUUACCGACAGAAUAAGCACCGGCUAACUCUGUGCCAGCAGCGGCGGUAAUACAGAGGGUGCAAGCGAUAAGCGGAAUUACUGGGCGUAAAGCGCGCGUAGGUGGUUUGUUAAGUUGGAUGUGAAAUCCCCGGGCUCAACCUGGGAACUGCAUUCAAAACUGACUGACUAGAGUAUGGUAGAGGGUGGUGGAAUUUCCUGUGUAGCGGUGAAAUGCGUAGAUAUAGGAAGGAACACCAGUGGCGAAGGCGACCACCUGGACUAAUACUGACACUGAGGUGCGAAAGCGUGGGGAGCAAACA